AUGAUGGUUAUCUCAAAGGAAAUUAGUGAACUUCCUGGUUCAUAGAAACAUCUUCAACUGCUUUCCUAAACACUGUUAUACUUCCUGACUGUCAUGGUAACGUGUGUGCCUGGGGCAAUGGGAGACACACUGGAUUUGUGUGCUUCACUCACACCCUUUGCAUGGUCGUUAGUUUGCAGUGGAUGCAUUGUUGGGGCUGGCUAACAGUCCAAUUUCUUCCACUCUGGUCGCCUGGCCUUGUGAUAAAGAGAUUAAUUCUGCAGGUUGAAUUCGGGCUUGAGAGGAGUGGCCCCUGGCAACAGACUAAACAGUCUGGCCUUGUACUUUAUUGAGUUCAGAUGAUGGAAGGCAACAGUAAAAUGUAAAAGAUUCUUCGAUAUUUCUAGGAUAUAUCUUUCGGAGAUGCAAUAAAGAUGGCGGAGGAACCCUGUGGUCGAGAAGUAUCUGUAGGAGGAAAGGAACUGUCAAUAUUUGUGGUCAGAACUCUGCAUCUGGUCUGACUGGAGAAUGGAGAUGGCCAGUCAAGAGAGAGGGGUAGUGGUAAACCGCCUGAGGUGAUUGGUGGACAGUGAGUGGCGAGAGAGAGAGAGAGAGAUGUCCAGUAUAGAGAGAGGGUAGUGGUAAGGCAAUCUGAGGUGAUUGGUGGACAGUGAGUGGCGAGAGAGAGAGAGAGAUGUCCAGUAUAGAGAGAGGGUAGUGGUAAGGCAAUCUGAGGUGAUUGGUGGACAGUGAGUGGAGAGAGAGAGAGAGAGAGAUGUCCAGUAUAGAGAGAGGGUAGUGGUAAGGCAAUCUGAGGUGAUUGGUGGACAGUGAGUGGCGAGAGAGAGAGAGAGAUGUCCAGUACAGAGAGAGGGUAGUGGUAAGGCAAUCUGAGGUGAUUGGUGGACAGUGAGUGGCGAGAGAGAGAGAGAGAUGUCCAGUAUAGAGAGAGGGUAGUGGUAAGGCAAUCUGAGGUGAUUGGUGGACAGUGAGUGGAGAGAGAGAGAGAGAGAUGUCCAGUAUAGAGAGAGGGUAGUGGUAAGGCAAUCUGAGGUGAUUGGUGGACAGUGAGUGGAGAGAGAGAGAGAGAGAUGUCCAGUACAGAGAGAGGGUAGUGGUAAGGCAAUCUGAGGUGAUUGGUGGACAGUGAGUGGUGAGAGAGAGAGAGAGAGAGAUGUCCAGUAUAGAGAGAGGGUAGUGGUAAGGCAAUCUGAGGUGAUUGGUGGACAGUGAGUGGCGAGAGAGAGAGAGAGAUGUCCAGUACAGAGAGAGGGUAGUGGUAAGGCAAUCUGAGGUGAUUGGUGGACAGUGAGUGGAGAGAGAGAGAGAGAGAUGUCCAGUACAGAGAGAGGGUAGUGGUAAGGCAAUCUGAGGUGAUUGGUGGACAGUGAGUGGCGAGAGAGAGAGAGAGAUGUCCAGUAUAGAGAGAGGGUAGUGGUAAGGCAAUCUGAGGUGAUUGGUGGACAGUGAGUGGCGAGAGAGAGAGAGAGAUGUCCAGUAUAGAGAGAGGGUAGUGGUAAGGCAAUCUGAGGUGAUUGGUGGACUGAGUGGAGAGAGAGGGUAGAAAGCCAGCGUGAGGUGAUUGGCGCACUGAGAGAGGUGAGAGAAGAUGGGCGCUUAUUACCAGAUAGGGAAGGGGAGUGAGGGUGGAGCUGUUAGAUUGUGUCAGGUGGAGAUAGAUGGAGAGGUGUUGUUGGGUCAUCUGGAAGUAAAUCACGCUGUCACAGUAAGGGGUCAGCCAUUCCAACCGAAGUGAAGAACUCUGUACUAGCAGUGUGGUGAACCUACAGAAUGCUGUAGAGGUUCACUUGGUAGCGGUGAUAGGUUUUUGAAUAUUAAGGAAAUCGCUUGAGAACAGGUUAGAGCAGUGAGGUAAAACGUUAGGCCAUGAUACAGAAUGACAGCGGUAUGGGGGGGGGGGGGGCUGCUGAUUGGCCUUUGCCUUCCAGUUUUAUUCUCUUCCGACUCUGGAGUCUACUGUUGCAGGGGAUGCAGCCAGUUGUGAAGUCUUAACAGUGUGAUGUGCAUUU
Long non-coding RNA from Hypanus sabinus (Atlantic stingray), 2009 nucleotides. RefSeq lists it as uncharacterized. Lineage: Eukaryota; Metazoa; Chordata; Chondrichthyes; Myliobatiformes; Dasyatidae. The transcript has 3 exons. The record is from RefSeq and is a predicted model, not a curated record.